AGAGCGAACGCUGGCGGCAGGCCUAACACAUGCAAGUCGAGCGCCCGUAGCAAUACGGGAGCGGCAGACGGGAGAGUAACACGUGGGAACGCGCCCUUCGGUUCGGAAUAACUCAGGGAAACUUGAGCUAAUACCGGAUACGCCCUUACGGGGAAAGAUUUAUUGCCGAAGGAACGGCCCGCGUCCGAUUAGCUAGUUGGUGAGGUAAUGGCUCACCAAGGCGACGAUCGGUAGCUGGUCUGAGAGGAUGACCAGCCUCACUGGGACUGAGACACGGCCCAGACUCCUACGGGAGGCAGCAGUGGGGAAUAUUGGACAAUGGGCGCAAGCCUGAUCCAGCCAUGCCGCGUGAGUGAUGAAGGCCCUAGGGUUGUAAAGCUCUUUCAACGGUGAAGAUAAUGACGGUAACCGUAGAAGAAGCCCCGGCUAACUUCGCGCCAGCAGCCGC
This 448-nucleotide ribosomal RNA is filed under the name uncultured bacterium. RNAcentral describes it as "SSU rRNA". It matches the Rfam family "Bacterial small subunit ribosomal RNA", at positions 26 to 518 of the family's 1533-position model. The record is from RNAcentral.